GAGAUGUUAGUAAAACUAUUACAAACCCUUGUCAAGGGUUAAUUACUAGUUAAAGUCUUGUACACCUUU
This 69-nucleotide transfer RNA is filed under the name Ambystoma talpoideum (mole salamander). Its description in RNAcentral is "tRNA-Asp". Lineage: Eukaryota; Metazoa; Chordata; Amphibia; Caudata; Ambystomatidae. The record is from RNAcentral.